GACGAACGCUGGCGGCGUGCUUAACACAUGCAAGUCGAACGGAAAGGCCUGCUUUCCCUUGUGGAUUGCGGGUACUCGAGUGGCGAACGGGUGAGUAACACGUGAGUGAUCUGCCCCCAACUUGGGUAUAAGCCUGGGAAACUGGGUCUAAUUCCCGAUAGGACUGCAGGGUGGUGCCUGUGGUGGAAAACGAUUUUCUAGUGGUUGGGGAUGAGCUCGCGGCCUAUCAGCUUGUUGGUGGGGUAAUGGCCUACCAAGGCGGCGACGGGUAGCCGGCCUGAGAGGGUGGACGGCCACAUUGGGACUGAGAUACGGCCCAGACGCCUACGGGAGGCAGCAGUGGGGAAUAUUACACAAUGGGCGGAAGCCUGAUGCAGCGACGCCGCGUGGGGGAUGACGGCCUUCGGGUGGUAAACUCCUUUCGACCGCGAGGAAGCCACCUGGUUGGAAGGGUGGUGACGGUAGUGGUAGAAGAAGCACCGGCUAACUACGUG
Molecule: ribosomal RNA, 494 nt
Filed under: uncultured bacterium
Lineage: Bacteria
Description: partial 16S ribosomal RNA
Rfam family: Bacterial small subunit ribosomal RNA
Source: RNAcentral